This 460-nucleotide ribosomal RNA is filed under the name uncultured bacterium. RNAcentral's name for it is "partial 16S ribosomal RNA". It matches the Rfam family "Bacterial small subunit ribosomal RNA", at positions 338 to 795 of the family's 1533-position model. The record is from RNAcentral.
CCUACGGGAGGCAGCAGUGAGGAAUAUUGGUCAAUGGCCGCAAGGCUGAACCAGCCAAGUCGCGUGAAGGACGACUGCCCUAGGGGUUGUAAACUUCUUUUAUAAGGGAAGAAAAAAUGCUACGUGUGUCAUGAUGCCUGUACCUUAUGAAUAAGCAUCGGCUAACUCCGUGCCAGCAGCCGCGGUAAUACGGAGGGUGCGAGCGUUAUCCGGAUUUAUUGGGUUUAAAGGGAGGGUAGAUGGGUUGUGAAGUCUGGUGUUAAACGUUGGGGGUUAACCCUUGAAUUGCAAUUGAUACUGGAAGACUUGAGUUCAGACGAGGUAGGCGGAAUUAGUAGAGUAGCGGUGAAAUGCUUAGAUAUAACGAAGAACUCCGAUAGCGAAGGCAGCUUACUAGACUGCAACUGACGUUGAGGCACGAGAGCGUGGGUAGCAAACAGGAUUAGAUACCCGUGUAGUC